GUGUAGAAGCUCCUCCGGGACCAGGAGCUGGUGAGGAUGACGGCACUGAUGCUGGAGAUGGUGCUGGCACUGAUGCUGGAGUAGGUGCUGGACCCGCUGGUGUUUUUGGUGCUGGGGCUGGUGUUGCUGCUGCUGGUGUUUUUGCUGGUGCUGGUGCCGAAGUCGGUGGUGCAGGUGUAGUUGACGGUGUUGAUGCUGGCGGAGGUGUGGAUGAGGGUGGAGGUGUGGAUGCUGAUGGAGGUGUUGAUGGUGGCGAUGAUGCUGGUGGAGGGGUGGCUUUAGGAGCUGGAGCUGGAGCUGCACCACCUCCUGAAACGGAGACGGUCAAUUUUUGUCCCAAGGAACAGUGCUGGGCGAAG
RNAcentral lists this long non-coding RNA (359 nucleotides) under Coffea arabica (coffee). RNAcentral's name for it is "long non-coding RNA (CARA_LNC004480)". Lineage: Eukaryota; Viridiplantae; Streptophyta; Magnoliopsida; Gentianales; Rubiaceae. The record is from RNAcentral.